GUGGUAUCCUGAGUAGGGCGGGGCACGUGAAACCCUGUCUGAAUUUGGCGGGACCAUCCGCUAAGGCUAAAUACUCCUGAGAGACCGAUAGUGAACCAGUACCGUGAGGGAAAGGUGAAAAGAACCGUGAAUAACGGAGUGAAAUAGAUCCUGAAACCAUACGCUUACAAGCGGUCGGAGCCCUUUCGUGGGGUGACGGCGUGCCUUUUGCAUAAUGAGCCUACGAGUUAACGCUGCUGGCGAGGUUAAGUGGUUAAGCCACGGAUCCGCAGCGAAAGCGAGUCUGAAUAGGGCGCUUUAGUCAGUAGUGUUAGACGCGAAACCGUGUGAUCUACCCAUGGGCAGGAUGAAGCUGUGGUAACACACAGUGGAGGUCCGAACCGGUUGACGUUGAAAAGUCUUCGGAUGACCUGUGGGUAGGGGUGAAAGGCCAAUCAAACUCGGAAAUAGCUCGUACUCCCCGAAAUGCAUUUAGGUGCAGCGCUGAAUUAAGUUAUAUAGAGGUAGAGCUACUGAUUGGAUGCGGGGGCUUCACCGCCUACCAAUUCCUGACAAACUCCGAAUGCUAUAUAAUGUUUCUCAGCAGUGAGGGCUUGGGUGCUAAGGUCCAAGUCCGAGAGGGAAAGAACCCAGACCAUCAGCUAAGGUCCCCAAAUAUACACUAAGUUGAAAGAACGAGGUUUGUCUGCCCAGACAGCUAGGAUGUUGGCUUGGAAGCAGCCAUUCAUUUAAAGAGUGCGUAACAGCUCACUAGUCGAGCGGACGAGCAUGGAUAAUAAUCGGGCAUAAGUGUAUUACCGAAGCUAUGGAUUUACAGUUUACUGUAAGUGGUAGGGGAGCAUUCUAACAGGGUUGAAGGUGUAUCGUCAGGUAUGCUGGACUGGUUAGAAAAGAAAAUGUAGGCAUAAGUAACGAUAAUGCGGGCGAGAAACCCGCACACCGAAAAACUAAGGUUUCCACAGCUAUGCUAAUCAGCUGUGGGUUAGUCUGGUCCUAAGGCGAACCCGAAAGGGACAGUCGAUGGCUAACGGGUUAAUAUUCCCGUACUACUAAUUACUGUGAUGGGGUGACGGAGUGAUGAAAGCGCCGCGAACUGACGGAAUAGUUCGUUAAAGUACCUAGCUAUAGGCUCUGCAGGCAAAUCCGCAGAGACUGGUGAAAUACGAUAGUACUCGGAGUCUUCGGACAAAGAGAUAGUGCGCCUAAGGGCUUCCAAGAAAAACCUCUAAACUUCAGGUAAUUAGUACCAGUACCGUAAACCGACACAGGUAGUUGAGGAGAGAAUCCUAAGGUGCUCGAGAGAUUCAUGGCUAAGGAAUUAGGCAAAAUAGACCUGUAACUUCGGGAGAAAGGUCGCCCCGAGCAAUCGGGGCCGCAGUGAAGAGGUCCAGGCGACUGUUUAUCAAAAACACAGGGCUCUGCAAAAUCGUAAGAUGAAGUAUAGGGCCUGACACCUGCCCGGUGCUGGAAGGUUAAGAGGAGAUGUUAUCUUCGGAGAAGCAUUGAAUUGAAGCCCCAGUAAACGGCGGCCGUAACUAUAACGGUCCUAAGGUAGCGAAAUUCCUUGUCGGGUAAGUUCCGACCUGCACGAAUGGUGUAACGAUCUGGACACUGUCUCAGCCAUGAGCUCGGUGAAAUUGUAGUAACGGUGAAGAUGCCGUUUACCCGCAGUGGGACGAAAAGACCCUGUGCACCUUUACUAUAGCUUAGUAUUGACCUUGGAUAAAUGAUGUGUAGGAUAGGUUGGAGAC
RNAcentral lists this ribosomal RNA (1751 nucleotides) under Flavobacterium panici. Its description in RNAcentral is "Flavobacterium sp. PXU-55 23S ribosomal RNA (partial)". It matches the Rfam family "Bacterial large subunit ribosomal RNA", at positions 400 to 2155 of the family's 2925-position model. The record is from RNAcentral. Lineage: Bacteria; Pseudomonadati; Bacteroidota; Flavobacteriia; Flavobacteriales; Flavobacteriaceae.